AGAUAGAGUACUGAAGGUCGACACCUGUUGAACAUUAGAUCACACUCAAGGAGGUCGGUCGAGAUUACAGUAAGAACAACAGUUGAAAAAGAUGAAAUUAUCUGCAAGCUUGUUUCUGAUUUUGGUAGUCGCUUUUACCUUCGUGUCUGAAGCUUUAUAUGUAUCCAACACUGAUUCCUACCCGACCCUCAAUAAAUGGAUGUCAAAUAAUUUUUUGAAACUCGGUGGCCAUCAACCCUGGGACAUUCAGGGACCAUGCAAAGCAGCCCUAACAAGGUGUGGUGGUAGAUACGGACUAUGCUGCAAUACAAAUCUAAAAUGCGUACGAGGCUAUUGUGAGCGAGGCUAAUGAAUUGAAGCUUUGCCGUUCCAAUAAAGCUAAACAGUGAUUAGG
Long non-coding RNA from Physella acuta, 394 nucleotides. RefSeq lists it as uncharacterized. NCBI's taxonomy places the organism in Eukaryota, Metazoa, Mollusca, Gastropoda, Physidae. The record is from RefSeq and is a predicted model, not a curated record.